RNAcentral lists this ribosomal RNA (492 nucleotides) under uncultured bacterium. Its description in RNAcentral is "partial 16S ribosomal RNA". It matches the Rfam family "Bacterial small subunit ribosomal RNA", at positions 29 to 507 of the family's 1533-position model. The record is from RNAcentral.
AGUGAACGCUGGCGGUAGGCCUAACACAUGCAAGUCGAACGGCAGCACAGUAAGAGCUUGCUCUUACGGGUGGCGAGUGGUGGACGGGUGAGGAAUACAUCGGAAUCUACUUUUUCGUGGGGGAUAACGUAGGGAAACUUACGCUAAUACCGCAUACGACCUACGGGUGAAAGCAGGGGAUCUUCGGACCUUGCGCGAUUGAAUGAGCCGAUGUCGGAUUAGCUAGUUGGCGGGGUAAAGGCCCACCAAGGCGACGAUCCGUAGCUGGUCUGAGAGGAUGAUCAGCCACACUGGAACUGAGACACGGUCCAGACCCCUACGGGAGGCAGCAGUGGGGAAUAUUGGACAAUGGGCGCAAGCCUGAUCCAGCCAUACCGCGUGGGUGAAGAAGGCCUUCGGGUUGUAAAGCCCUUUUGUUGGGAAAGAAAAGCAGCAGGUUAAUACCCCGCUGUUCUGACGGUACCCAAAGAAUAAGCACCGGCUAACUUCGUG